AAAGUCUCUUCAUCAAUAAAUUUUCAAAGUUUCAUUUUUUUUUAAACAAAAGUUGCACAAAAGUAAGCAAUCCAGCCUUCCAUUAUAUAUGGUAUGGAAUAAUUUAUCUAUGUUUCACCGGUAUUCAUGAUCACCACAGCUAAAAGCAAACGAAAAUAUUAAAAACUGAAACAAAUUAAUCGGUUUUCAUCCCCCUUUAUUUUUGGAAAUUACGGAUGCAAUAUUAAAUGAUUAUUUUUCGUAUGCUUUCCUAGAGCUUCCAAUUACUGGUCAUUUACAAAUUCUAACACGUGAUUUCUUUUAUUAUACAGAAAAAA
RNAcentral lists this long non-coding RNA (317 nucleotides) under Mytilus galloprovincialis (Mediterranean mussel). The record is from RNAcentral. Lineage: Eukaryota; Metazoa; Mollusca; Bivalvia; Mytilida; Mytilidae.